AAGAAUUUCCAGAUGGAUUUACCCCAAGAUGUUAAUGUUGUGCUGGUUUUAAUGCUGACUGAAGCAAGGUAGCAAGUGGUUAUUACAGACCUGACAUGCCUCUUCUGCCAAGAAACAGCAUGAGCUUUCAACUCAGAAAACAAGCAGACUUCACUUCAUCUGGUUUGGAUGGCAGCAUUAGCUGUGCUCAUGUGUUGAAUCCUGAGAAAACAGUUCUGAAGGGCCAAAAGAAGCAAAUAAAGCGUAUUUGUUAUUCUGACUGACCUUAGGCAUACAGUAUGCGAAGCUGGAAGAAGCGUACCCUGAAUCUCUGAUAAUAAGUAUGGUGAUAACUGGACUUGCAUGUUAAUGCAGAACACCUGAUGCAAUUAUAUGUGAAGAGGACAUUCAGAUGCACUUCCAUAAAUGCCCUUCUGCUUCUCAAUUACAUUAAAUAACUUCACAGAUCCUUUGAUAGAAACAAUUUUCUUCAGUUUUUCAAAAUAAUGAAUAGGCAUUAGACUAGACUUAGCUGUUACCCAAAAUGGCUUGAUCAAAGGUCUGAGAGUAAUACAAUAAACACAAGAAAAGCAGCUACCAGGUGGUUUCCAACACAAACUGAAGGGAAAGUGUCAAGUGAGCAGAUAGUGACAAUUCAGCCCUGAAACCAAAGGUUCAUGUGUGAAACUCCACCUUUGAGAAGGAAGAAUAAAUAUCCGCAGAAUGUUUCGGCUAUAAUUACUUCAUUUAAGGGGAAAAAAAAAAAGAAAAAGAAAAAGAGCUGAAUUCAGUUUGCUAAAGUCAGGACAUUAAUAUUUUUGGCAUGUAAAGAUGUAAACCAAAUGUUUAAAUGAAAUGUCAGCCCCCUGGGUUCACAUUCGCCCAUUGAACUACAGUACAAACCCUCCACAGACCUUCAUACAAUACACAUUUUUCAGUCCAUUGAAGAAGGCCCCUGCUGCUUCUCAAGGAAAACUAGCUUGCAGAAGCAAAAUAAACACUGGCAUUGCGGCGGCGCAGCGGAGCCUCGCCAGCGCAGAUGUGCAGCAUCGUCGGCUUUUAAAUCAGAUAAGGCCUGCUCAGACAUAAGCAGUGCAGUGUCUGGGACACGUUGCACGCGGCCGCGCUGCCCGAGCGCAUGCAGCGGGAGCUCCGGCUGGGCGGCAGCAGGCCGACAGCAUUUCGCAGCAGCGCUGUUAUGUCUAGAUGGGCAAAUGUUUGUGCGAGCCAGCCGCCGUAGAAGCGGGGAUGCAAAUAAUGUCUUAUCUGCUGGGUGCGAAUAUCGCCCGAAAACAGCCCCGGGCGCCUCGCCGUGCUGCUUGGGGCGCUCCCCAGCUGCGUCGAGGGGGACCGAUGCCGUGCCGUGCUGCAGGAGGCAUCGCGUCCGUCUGUCCGUCCACCUGCUGAUGUUUGCUGCCAGGCACUCCACCGCCGUCCUGUAAAGCCGUGUGCGCCCACGGCUAGCCAUUGGCCUAGCUGCGGUCCGGCACGCAAAGGGUUAAAAUGUCUGGAUUUGGACGAGCUGCCUCCAAAAACGUGAAGCGAGUGUGUUGAACCCUGCAGAAACGUGGCUCGCCGAUUCUGUGGUCGUCCUAUUAAGACAUACAAAGUAUCUCAGGAAGGGAAAAUUUAACUUACAUACAACACAUGAUUUUAAGUAAAGAAAUAUUGUAGGGGCGGGGGGGGGAAGUAUUUUUUUAGCUCUAAUUUAUGGCUGAGCAGCUUCAUUUUAGUUACUUCAUGGGAAUAUUUUAAACCAAGCCUGCAUAAUAUUAAAAUAAGUUAAAAUGUAUGUAAAAUUUAUGAGAGCAUGUCAGGUGCAAUGCUUGAUAAAGUAAGUUUAAUGCUUCAGAAUUUUUUCUUCAGGCAGAGAAAGCUGAAUCCUGCAAUUCUAGGUUACAGUAUAAUUUUAGAAACUCUUUUCCAUUAUACCAUUCUUUUAUUAAUGAGAUCCAACCCAAUUUAACGAAAAGAGGUAAAUUCCUGAAGAGUUUGUGGAAAGUACUCAGCAGGUUGGAAACCAGGACCGUGUGAUAAAAGAGGGUACUUUCCUAGUGUUCCUAUUAUAUAUCCAAUUUUAUAAAAACACAGAGGAAAUCAAUUUACAACAAACUUUGUAAGUGUGCCUCUUCACUGUGGUUUUCCUGCUGGAAAUGCUGCUGCACUCCGUGAACAAAUAAAAGCUUUGGCAGCUGA
This is a long non-coding RNA of Dromaius novaehollandiae (emu), 2175 nucleotides long. RefSeq lists it as uncharacterized. The record is from RefSeq and is a predicted model, not a curated record. The transcript is spliced from 3 exons. NCBI's taxonomy places the organism in Eukaryota, Metazoa, Chordata, Aves, Casuariiformes, Dromaiidae.